This 403-nucleotide ribosomal RNA is filed under the name bacterium. Its description in RNAcentral is "partial 16S ribosomal RNA". It matches the Rfam family "Bacterial small subunit ribosomal RNA", at positions 355 to 776 of the family's 1533-position model. The record is from RNAcentral.
UGGGGAAUAUUGCACAUUGGGGGAAACCCUGAUGCAGCGACGCCGCGUGAACGAAGAAGGUAUUCGUAUCGUAAAGUUCUGUCCUAUGGGAAGAUAAUGACAGUACCAUAGAAGAAAGCUCCGGCUAAAUACGUGCCAGCAGCCGCGGUAAUACGUAUGGAGCGAGCGUUGUCCGGAAUUAUUGGGCGUAAAGGGUACGCAGGCGGUUUAAUAAGUCGAAUGUUAAAGAUCGGGGCUCAACCCCGCAAAGCAUUGGAAACUGAUAAACUUGAGUAGUGGAGAGGAAAGUGGAAUUCCUAGUGUAGUGGUGAAAUACGUAGAUAUUAGGAGGAAUACCAGUAGCGAAGGCGACUUUCUGGACACAAACUGACGCUGAGGUACGAAAGCGUGGGGAGCAAACAGG